RNAcentral lists this transfer RNA (69 nucleotides) under Anarhynchus alexandrinus (Kentish plover). RNAcentral describes it as "Charadrius alexandrinus tRNA-Arg". RNAcentral also lists the same sequence under 1 other name. Lineage: Eukaryota; Metazoa; Chordata; Aves; Charadriiformes; Charadriidae. The record is from RNAcentral.
AGAGAAUUAGUCUAACAAAGACAGUUGAUUUCGGCUCAACAGACCAUAGUCUGACCCUAUGAUUCUCUU